AUUGAACGCUGGCGGCAUGCUUUACACAUGCAAGUCGAACGGCAGCACGGGGGCAACCCUGGUGGCGAGUGGCGAACGGGUGAGUAACACAUCGGAACGUGUCCUGAGGUGGGGGAUAACCUGGCGAAAGCCAGGCUAAUACCGCAUACGCUCGAGAGAGGAAAGCAGGGGACCGCAAGGCCUUGCGCAGCAGGAGCGGCCGAUGUCCGAUUAGCUAGUAGGUAGGGUAAAGGCCUACCUAGGCGACGAUCGGUAGCUGGUCUGAGAGGAUGAUCAGCCACACUGGGACUGAGACACGGCCCAGACUCCUACGGGAGGCUG
This 321-nucleotide ribosomal RNA is filed under the name uncultured Pseudomonadota bacterium. RNAcentral's name for it is "bacterial SSU rRNA". It matches the Rfam family "Bacterial small subunit ribosomal RNA", at positions 29 to 351 of the family's 1533-position model. The record is from RNAcentral. Lineage: Bacteria; Pseudomonadati; Pseudomonadota.